RNAcentral lists this ribosomal RNA (477 nucleotides) under uncultured bacterium. Its description in RNAcentral is "bacterial SSU rRNA". It matches the Rfam family "Bacterial small subunit ribosomal RNA", at positions 365 to 832 of the family's 1533-position model. The record is from RNAcentral.
UUCGCAAUGCCCGAAAGGGUGACGAAGCGACGCCGCGUGAGCGAAGAAGGCCUUAGGGUUGUAAAGCUCUGUCAAGGGUUAUGAAAUGUAGAUGGGAUAACACCCCAUUUAUUUGACAAAGGCCCAAAAGGAAGUCACGGCUAACUCUGUGCCAGCAGCCGCGGUAAUACAGAAGUGGCAAGCGUUGUUCGGAAUUAUUGGGCGUAAAGAGCACGUAGGUGGGCUUGCAAGUCAGAUGUGAAAGCCUUCUGUUCAACGGAAGAAUUGCAUCUGAAACUGCGAGUCUUGAGUGUAGGAGGGGAGAAUGGAACUUCUGGUGGAGCGGUGAAAUGCGUAGAUAUCAGAAGGAACGCCGGCGGCGAAGGCGAUUCUCUGGCCUAUUACUGACACUCAGUGUGCGAAAGCUAGGGGAGCAAACGGGAUUAGAUACCCCGGUAGUCCUAGCCGUAAACGAUGGGCACUAAGUAGAGGGGUUUU